UACGAAGGGGGCUAGCGUUGUUCGGAAUCACUGGGCGUAAAGCGCACGUAGGCGGAUUUUUAAGUCAGGGGUGAAAUCCCGGGGCUCAACCUCGGAACUGCCUUUGAUACUGGAGAUCUUGAGUCCGGAAGAGGUAAGUGGAACUGCGAGUGUAGAGGUGAAAUUCGUAGAUAUUCGCAAGAACACCCGUGGCGAAGGCGGUUCUCUGGGACGGUACUGACGCUGAGACGCGAAAGCGUGGGGAGCGAACAGG
Molecule: ribosomal RNA, 253 nt
Filed under: uncultured bacterium
Lineage: Bacteria
Description: partial 16S ribosomal RNA
Rfam family: Bacterial small subunit ribosomal RNA
Source: RNAcentral